AACGCGAAGAACCUUACCUACCCUUGACAUGCUCGGAAUCUGGCAGAGAUGUUGGAGUGCCUUCGGGAGCCGAGACACAGGUGCUGCAUGGCUGUCGUCAGCUCGUGUCGUGAGAUGUUGGGUUAAGUCCCGUAACGAGCGCAACCCCUAUACUUAGUUGCCAACGGGUAAAGCUGGGAACUCUAAGUAGACUGCCGGUGACAAGCCGGAGGAAGGUGGGGAUGACGUCAAGUCCUCAUGGCCCUUACGGGUAGGGCAACACACGUGUUACAAUGGCCAGUACAGAGGGAAGCGAAGUCGCGAGAUGGAGCGAAUCCUGAUAAAGCUGGUCGUAGUCCGGAUUGGAGUCUGCAACUCGACUCCAUGAAGUUGGAAUCGCUAGUAAUCGCAGAUCAGAACGCUGCGGUGAAUACGUUCCCGGGCCUUGUACACACCGCUGUA
RNAcentral lists this ribosomal RNA (441 nucleotides) under uncultured bacterium. Its description in RNAcentral is "bacterial SSU rRNA". It matches the Rfam family "Bacterial small subunit ribosomal RNA", at positions 958 to 1398 of the family's 1533-position model. The record is from RNAcentral.